AAGGAAAAUGCUGUCCUAUCCCAAGGAAUACAAGAGAGUUAUCAAACAUGGCUGUGUCCCUCUUGCCACUUUGAUGCUGAGGGACUCGUCCAGCUGUAAACCCACAGCAUUGUUUGAGAGGCCAUCAAGACCCAAACAGACCUAUAUGCGGUUUCACAAGGCACCCGGUUUUGGAGACAAAGGACAGUGAUGACUCUUGACGAUUCACAGAGUUGGGAUAAGAUGGAGACACUGCUCACUGUCAGCUCCAGAAGGUCUCAAAAACUCCAAUCUAUUACCUGGACAUUGUCAUCAGCCUACAAAGAACCUCAACCUUUGUGACAAAAUCUUGACAGCUGCCAUCUCUUGUCCUCCCUGUCAUCACAAUAAAUCCUGGACCUCACAUUUGUGGACAAGAAGCCUGAGACACCACAGACAUCCAGAUGCUGGACUGGCACAGAAUGGAGGGUCUGAAGGUCAGAAUCGCUGUCAACUCCCCAGAGAUGUGAAAAGCACAACCGUAUUUCACCUCCUUCACAAGAACAGCCCUGGAGAUGUGAAAUCUUAGUAGGUGGUAUCUCUUCUGCUCCAU
Molecule: long non-coding RNA, 571 nt
Organism: Cygnus olor (mute swan)
Lineage: Eukaryota; Metazoa; Chordata; Aves; Anseriformes; Anatidae
Exons: 3
Source: RefSeq, a predicted model, not a curated record